GGUCUGCAAACCAAGAGGAGCCACCCAGAUGUGACCGUGGGGUCCACCCUGCAGCUUUUGGCCAAAAGAGAGGGACCAACGGAGAGUGGCUACACUUAUGCAAUGGAAAGAAGACGAGGGAAAGCUGGACCGAACGGAAGGAAAGAGGAGAGCUUUAUUUCAAGGAAACUGCUGCAAACCGGCGCUGAGGGAAAACCUGCCACUUUGAAAUAAGGUGAGAGCAUUUCUUUGGACAUGAUGUCACAGGAGAUGAGUCCCGCCGCUGGACUGCUGCCGCUGGACAAUCAUUCUCUCCCACCUGGACCACAGAGGGGCGGCGACAGAACCAGAGCAGUGGGCCGGGCCUGUGGUGCUACUCUGAGAAGAAGAAACCCGGCGCCUGGAAACAAAUGUUACGGCACGUGAUGCUUUGUUGUGUUCUGCUGCCGUGGCAACAGCGAAGAUCACAAG
Molecule: long non-coding RNA, 450 nt
Organism: Gasterosteus aculeatus aculeatus (three-spined stickleback)
Lineage: Eukaryota; Metazoa; Chordata; Actinopteri; Perciformes; Gasterosteidae
Source: Ensembl